Nomascus leucogenys (northern white-cheeked gibbon) is the source of this 594-nucleotide non-coding RNA. The record is from the annotation of a RefSeq genome assembly. NCBI's taxonomy places the organism in Eukaryota, Metazoa, Chordata, Mammalia, Primates, Hylobatidae.
AUGGCCUGGACUCCUCUCCUCUUCCUGCUCCUCUCUCACUGCACAGGUUCCCUCUCGCAGCCUGUCCUGACUCAGCCAAGCUCCCUGUCCGCAUCUCCUGGAGCAUCAGCCAGACUCACCUGCACCUUUAGCGGUGGCAUCAUUGUUGGUGGCUACCACAUAUUCUGGUACCAGCAGAAGCCAGGGAGUCCUCCCCGGUAUCUCCUGAGGUACAAAUCAGACUCAGAUAAGCACCAGGGCUCUGGAGUCCCCAGCCGCUUCUCUGGAUCCAAAGAUGCUUCGGCCAAUGCAGGGAUUUUACUCAUCUCCGGGCUCCAGUCUGAGGAUGAGGCUGACUAUUAUUGUAUGAUUUGGCACAGCAGUAGCGCUUCUCACAGUGACACACACAGAUGGGGAACUGGGAUGAAAACCUCGCCCUGCUCUCACUCUUGUUCUGUGUCAAGGUUCUGGGCCCGGUCUGUGCUGACUCAGUGGUGUGAAGUGUUCGUGUGGGUGGGGCAAACGGCCACCAUCUAUCGCACUGGAAGCAGAAGCAAGGCUGGGUGUGGGCCUGUGUCCUGGUACCAGCAGUGCCCCCAGACUCCUCAUCUAUGA